Non-coding RNA from Acanthosepion pharaonis, 100 nucleotides. Lineage: Eukaryota; Metazoa; Mollusca; Cephalopoda; Sepiida; Sepiidae. The record is from the annotation of a GenBank genome assembly.
CGUUGAAACACCGAUUCUCGUAACACCACCGAAGUUAAACAAUGCUGAUCCUAGUUAGUACCAAGAUGGGUAACCGCUUGGGAAUAUCAGAUGUUGUAAG